CCUGGUUGAUCCUGCCAGUAGUCAUAUGCUUGUCUCAAAGAUUAAGCCAUGCAUGUCUAAGUACACACUUUGGUAAAGUGAAACCGCGAAUGGCUCAUUAAAUCAGCUACAAUUUAUUAGAUCGUACACUGUUACUUGGAUAACUGUGGGAAUUCUAGAGCUAAUACAUGCCGAGAGUCUCUGCUCUUCGGGGCAGAGCGCAGUUAUUAGACCAAAACCAGCCGUAUUCUUCGGGGUACGCUCUUUUGGUGACUCUGGAUAACCUUCAGCCGAUCGCAUGGCCUCGUGCCGGCGACGUAUCUUUCAAGUGUCUGCCCUAUCAACUUUCGAUGGUACGUGAUAUGCCUACCAUGGUGAUAACGGGUAACGGGGAAUCAGGGUUCGAUUCCGGAGAGGGAGCCUGAGAAACGGCUACCACAUCCAAGGAUGGCAGCAGGCGCGCAAAUUACCCACUCCCAGCUUGGGGAGGUAGUGACGAAAAAUAACAAUGCGGGACUCUAAGAGGCCCCGUAAUUGGAAUGAGUACACCUUAAAUCGUUUAACGAGUAUCAAUUGGAGGGCAAGUCUGGUGCCAGCAGCCGCGGUAAUUCCAGCUCCAAUAGCGUAUAUUAAAGUUGCUGCAGUUAAAAAGCUCGUAGUUGGAUCUGGGGCUUGAGGUCGCUGUCUAUCGUUUCGGCGAUGACGGUGAUGCUCAGCUCUGCUUGCCGGUGACUGUUGCGGUGUUCUUCACUGAGCGCUGUAGCAGCACGGCACGUUUACUUUGAAAAAAUUAGAGUGCUCAAAGCGUGCUUGUCGCUUGAAUAAUGUUGCAUGGAAUAAUGGAAUAGGACCUCGGUUCUAUUUUGUUGGUUUUCGGAGCUUGAGGUAAUGAUUAAGAGGGACGAACGGGGGCAUUCGUAUUGCGGUGUUAGAGGUGAAAUUCUUGGAUCGCCGCAAGACGGACUACUGCGAAAGCAUUUGCCAAGAACGCUUUCAUUAAUUAAGAGCGAAAGUCAGAGGUUCGAAGACGAUCAGACACCGUCCUAGUUCUGACCAUAAACGAUGCCGACCAGCGAUCCGUAGUGGUUACUUUAUGGACCCUACGGGCAGCCUCCGGGAAACCAAAGUAAUUGGGUUCCGGGGGAAGUAUGGUUGCAAAGCUGAAACUUAAAGGAAUUGACGGAAGGGCACACCAGGAGUGGAGCCUGCGGCUUAAUUUGACACAACACGGGAAAACUCACCCGGUCCGGACACCGUAAGGAUUGACAGACUGAUAGCUCUUUCUUGAUUCGGUGGAUGGUGGUGCAUGGCCGUUCUUAGUUGGUGGAGUGAUUUGUCUGGUUAAUUCCGAUAACGAACGAGACUCUAGCCUGCUAAGUAGUGUUGCUAUUGUUAUAUGGUUGACACUUCUUAGAGGGACAAGUGGCAUUUAGCCACGCGAAAUUGAGCAAUAACAGGUCUGUGAUGCCCUUAGAUGUCCGGGGCCGCACGCGCGCUACACUGGAGAAGUCAGCGUGUGUUAUCCAAGUCCGAAAGGGCUGGGUAAUCCGUUGAACCUUCUUCGUGCUUGGGACUGUGGCUUGGAACUAUUCCACAUGAACGAGGAAUUCCUAGUAAUUGCAAGUCAUAAGCUUGCGUUGAUUACGUCCCUGCCCUUUGUACACACCGCCCGUCGCUACUACCGAUUGAAUGGUUUAGCAAGGUCCUCGGAUCGUGGCCGUAGGGGCACGCAAGUGUUUCUGCGGUUUGCGAGAAGACGACCAAACUUGAUCAUUUAGAGGAAGUAAAAGUCGUAACAAGGUU
This 1782-nucleotide ribosomal RNA is filed under the name metagenome. Its description in RNAcentral is "SSU rRNA". It matches the Rfam family "Eukaryotic small subunit ribosomal RNA". The record is from RNAcentral.